UGAAGGGUGUCUGACACAAGUUUUGUAUGUUGAAGCCAGAGAUGGGUGACCUAGGAGGUACUGAAAUGAAGGAUGCAUUAUAUUGAUUCUGAUUGCUCAUGUCUACCCAACAAAAUCUCUGCUUAUGCCUUAAUUUUAACACUUUUAAUUUCUGAUCAUAUGCAAAAGAAAGUACUGAGCAGGCAGUCCUUGCAAGUCCCAUUCUAUAGAGCUAUCCCAGCUGGGAACCAGCAUUACCAUGCCCACAUUCACCCGAGCCCAAAUCUCCCCAAGUGACCCCUGGGUCAAACUUACAGUAUCCUGUUAUAUAUAGAAAUGUUAGUUCCUUCCCUUUUAAGCUUAUUUAUUUAUGUAUUUAUUUUUAAAUAACCAUCCAGCCUGUCCAGUCCCCAUGGGGAUGUAACUCAGGGGCAGUUACAUCUCACCGCUGAAUAGUUUUUGGGUGCUGGAACCAGGGGGACAGCAGCCAGGAUGGGGGCUGUGAUUGCUCCAUGUGCUCUGCCUCGGGUCAUGGGAGGUGAUCAGGGAGCAGAGGGAAGGAGGCGGGCUUUGGCUUGAUCUAGUAUCUUGGUAUCUUGCCUGUGUUAGAGAAUCAAUCAAAACUCAUAUAAAGGAGCUGAGGAGAUGGAGGAUUGUGUUUCUUGAUUCUUGAUGCUUGUGUUUCAUGGGUUCAAUACCUACAAAUACUCUGUUUGGUGAUUUGUUACAGAAGCCUCCAAAUUCUCAAGCUGUUUAAGGUUUUGCAUGUUUUCCUCUUACUCAUGUUGCCUUUUCUGUCUGACAUUCUGUUUUUCAGUAUUUCUGUUACAGCGUUCCAGACAUCGCCCAGAAAUUGUAGUGUCUCGCUCAGGAGUUAUGUAAGAGUUGCAGUAGAUAUUCCUGAUAUUUCCCACUGUUUACAAAGCAGACUUGGUUUCUCUUAAUGUUUUCCAGUAUACAACUGUCAGUUUACAAAUGAGCACUGGCUGAGUCAUUCGCGCCGAGCCAUCUUCUUUCCACUCAUUGUUUCCUUGUCCCAAAUAACAGGGAGCACAUGGCAAGAACAACAAAUAAUACCAGAAAGGGUAGAUAAUCUCCUCUUGUAGAAGGGUGUUGUUUUGACUUGAUGUAAAAGGUUAUGAGGGUUUUGCAAUGCUAAUGAUGAAUCUUCUGAUUUAGAAGUGUUGAUGCUGGAUUUUUUUUUUCCUUUUGCUGUUUAUUUUUCUUGAAAUUUCCAAUGCUUUAUUACUAGGAGUUAAAUCUUUCACCACAGCAAACUAACAUGGGCUUCCCUAACUUUAUACUGAAUUACACGUGCUGAGGCUCUGUAUCUGCACCUUUGUAUUUCAAAGGGGUGCCAGCACUUAGAAGAGUUUAAAACUGGCAAAAAGCUAUUUUGGUUUUGCUUCCUGCUUCCUAAACUCAAAGUGUGAUAAAGCCUACUCAGACAUUAGAACAUUAUUUUUCUAAAUCUUAUGGUUGUAGUUGGAUAAGCAGGCAAUCAAUCUGACUGGAUACUGAGUAGUGAAGUCCCAUCACUGCAGCAUCAAUGUUAAUGGCAAGAACGGUAACCCAUAAGGGUUAGUAGAACUCUGGACUUGAUAAACAUUUUUAUGAGACUCAUAAGGCUUGAAAAAUCUGUGUGAGCUCCUCAUCAGUGCUAGAUGAAAACCCUCCAUGCAAAAUACGUCCUAUGUCAGCAGGAAAGGUUUUGAAACAUAGCAGUAUUACCCCUCCCAUGGCCUCUGGUGCUAUCCAGAGGCUCCUGGAUGGAUGUGAGCCCCAUGUCCAUCCAUAACAUCUCACAGGGCUGAUGGGAGGCUGCUCAGUGAGACACAAAGCUGUGUUUUGCAGCAGCAGGGGCAGGGAGUGCAGGAAGGGCAGCUGGGAGGAACGAGGUGAGGGGCUGAGAAGGGGCUGCCAGCGGGUGGGUGCUGCUGGGCAGGUGGAUGUGGCUGCGGUCACCCCGGGUGAGGAUGACUCCCACAGGGUUACAUCCCUCAGCACAUCCCUUGCCAGUCCUGGCACAGCCCUUUUAUAAUGCAUGUGCUUGGAAAAGGGGCCAGGUGACACACAGGGGAAGAAAUGCAGGUUAUGUGGAGUAUUCUCUUUGUGUCAGUAUUUCCUAGCACAUGCUAUAAAGGCAAGUGGAUCUGUUUCUCACAUAUCACAGCUCUCCCUCUAAAAGUUCGAAGUGGUGAACAAUAAUAUUCUAAUGUAAUGCUUUCACAGGCUAUGAAAGAAGCUUCAGUCCAAAAAGUCAGAGUGUUAAUCUGCUUUCAGGGAGCUCUCCUCUCAAUUCUUGUGCAUCUCUAAUAGGCAUGGUGAUGAUGCAGUACCAAAAACACUACUCUGCCCUUUUGGUGAUGGAUGUUAACAGUCAUAAAUAAUCACUGAGUCCAUGAUAAGUAAGAGGAGCUUAUUCCUUUGCAGUCCCAAUAAUGUGUCACACCAUGAUCCAUCACUGUGUCUCAUGAAAAUGAAUUGGUCUUUUAUCUUUUCAUUCCUGCACAUUAACAGCCAUUUGCAUUUUCCUAAGAUGAAUUUUAUAAAAUGUUCAGUGACAGAUUCUUUACAGAAAUGGCUUCAGAUUUUCCAAGGCACAAUGGAGGAGGACAGAUGUCACACAGAGGGCUUCACUCACUCUGUGAUGCCUUCUGGCUUGCAGAGAACUGAAAAUGUUUUUAUUCUAAAGGCUCUGCUUUGAAAGUGCCAUUUCACCUCCUGAGUUACUAGUGAAAUAACUACACUUAUGCCAAAUUGAGACACACUAAAAAGUGACAUGGAACAGCUGUGUUUGACAUUAUGGCUUCCACUUACAAAAGGGUUUCCUUCUCAAUGCCUAGGAAUUUGCAUGGAAUAAACAAAGUUGUGAUUUCGCAUGUUUGAGAGCUCCAGCAUCCUUGCCUGAUACACAUUUUCUCACAGUCUGCUCAGAGCCUGCACCUAAAUCCUAGAUAGUAAUGUAUAUAGCAAUUCAUGUUAUUCUCUCAAUAUUUGUUUCUAAGUUGUGGCCAAACAUUUGAACAUAAAUGAAAACAGUUCAGGCUCACUGAACAUUCACUCCACCUGACUGCUCUGUUUAGUUAGCAUUUGGUUUUGUUUUGGUUCAUUUCAAGAACCUUUGGAUGACUUAAUAUGUGUUGUUCUUUUUUAUUAUUAUUAUUAUUAUUUAAUCAGAAGAAAUAAACUAGCUCCAGAUUAGAUUUGCACAAAUGUAACAGUAUUAAUGAAGUGUUUCCUUCUACUGUGACAAAAGUGAGCUCGGCGUCAAGCUCAGCACUUUCCAAGUCAUACAAAACUGCCGUAGGGAGGGAAAGGAACCUGCACUCCGAGCCCUGUGCCAUUAACAGCAUUGCAUUAGGAGCCCUUUGCAUAACCAAAUAGUGCUUUGGGUCACUUCAGUGUCAUAUCCAGUUGACUAACUUCACUUUUCCUUACACACACACACUUCAUUCUCUUCUCUUUUGUAUCUAAGCAGGACUGUUAAAUGGGACAUUUUAUCACAGAAAUGAUUUGCAAAAGACCUUUAAUGUUUUGUUAUCUAUUUUACAUGUCCCUCACCUCAUUACUGACCAUUUUUAUGCUGCUUCAAAUUAUUUCCCCUCACACAUGUCCAGAACUUCCUAUGAACUUUUGGUUUCUGAGCCCAUCAGUGACACACUCGACUGAAACACCCUGGACACUUCCAUCCCAUAGAAUCAGCCUUAGUGUGCUGCACACAGUUUCUGGAAGGUGAUAAAAUUGCAUUACCUAAUCUUUUCUCACAAUUCAUGUUGUAAUUUUCUCUGAGGUCCAGCCUUCACUCCAGCACUGCCACCUUGUAACAAUCUGUUUUUCCAUUAUUCCCAAACAGAAGCAAUAGCAACAUUUGAGUGUAGUGUUAGGUAAUAUAUCAGGCAAUGAAAAAUUGGGCCUGUGCUGAUCACUUCUGUCUCAGUGUUAGCAGUAUGUCUACACUUUUAUGGCUUCACCUAACACCAGAUUGUUUGUACUGAGAUAUGGUCAGAGUGUCUGUUAGAGAUCCACUAGGACUUCAGCUGAAAUAAUGCCAGCUCUGCCCUGCUCUCAGGUAUUUUGGCCUCCAGAGUUGUGGAAGCCAGCCAGGAGAAAAGGGCAGCCAAGGUACCUUAGCUGUGUCAUGGCUAGCUCUGAUACAGGAUCAGAAGAGGAGGCAGGAAUUGCUUUCAUGUUUUCUGACCUGCAUUCCAGCUGUUGGGACGAUGGGAGUAGUGAGCCAGCACUGGGUACCAGUUGCUUAGGAGCAGUCAGGAUCUCUAAUUCACUUUGAUUAAAUGGGGGCUUGGAUUACGUGACUGUCGUGCAGCGAUUACUCGCUGCAGUUUAUCAUCCGUAACCGAAUUUGUGAUUUCAUGUUGAAUGGCUUUCAAUUUACUUUUCUCCUUAACACUUAUGAACUCAUUCACUGAUGAUUACCAGUGUUUCCUGGCUCCUUGCUAGCUUUGGAGGAGAUGAAGUAGUUCAGUCUAAUGAAGCAGAGACUUUUAGCUGGAAAAAUUAUGCUACUCUUUUUGCAUUGGGUUACUCUUCCCUUUAACUGCUUUCUUAAAGAUGGUCUGUAGAGUGAGAAGCAUUAACCCCAGAUCUGGCAAAGAAGGCAGCACAUACAACCUAUGUCUUCAUUAGAAAAAACCUCAUUGAAGAUUAGAAAUCAAAGCUGAACAUCUAGUCAGCCUAGUGGGCAGACCCCACCUCCACGCUAUUCAGUGUAUUGAGCCCAUGUGGAGUGCUCUAUUUGAUACAUAAAAAAUGGAAGCCUUUUUCAAGUUCUGAACAUGGUCUGUAAAUCUGCAGCUGAGCAUCUUUCUUUUACAAAUGGGGGAAAUUUUGCCUGAAAGUUGUUGGAUUCGCUUCAUAAUCAAGUUGUUUUCAUUUAAGAUAUCUUUGUGUGUUGAAAACCUUGUCUGAAGGUUAUUUCAUUGUGUUCUCCCUGGUCAAAUGUUAUUCACAAUAGAGCGGAUGUCAUGACCCAGUAAUCCUAUUUAAUGAAAUUCAGUGUCUUUUGACUAGUUAGCAAAGGGAGGUACCAUUCAAACAAUUACCAGACCUUAGCAUUCAACUUGUGACUAAUAUCAAAUCAGAAAUGACUCUUGCUGUUCUCCUUCUGUUCACCUUGAGUGAACGUUAAAUUAAUUAAUAACUCUAGACAUCAUCAAAGUCCUGAGAAUCUGCACCCACACUGUAAUAGAAGCAAAAAAAACCAUUUCUGAUGGGUACAUUUAAUUCACCUCAUAAAGCAUUCUGCUAAUUUCCUUAUCUCUUGAACUAUUUCAGGCUGAUAGUGUUGCACAUUGUUAGAAAAAUCUCCAAGCAUUUUCAGACAGGGAAGAUUAUUAACCUCUGUGCACUGACAGCAGAACAAAAUGGGUACUUCAAGGCAUCCUGCCUUAAACACACUGAAAAGUCAAAAGACAAGGCAUCCUGCACUUCCCUUUCUCAAGGAUCAGCUACAGCUUCUGUGUGUUUCCAAACAGCUGCAACAUUUGUCCAAGGAAGAUCCAGUAAUCUGUUUAGUGUCUGCAUAUUUGUCUGAAGAGUGUUUAACAGCCUUUUGAGAUGAUCAGCACUUUUUAAAAGCAGUUUGCUAUGGGCUGAGUCCAUUUCCAUGUCUGACACUGCAGAGACUUCAAACACACCUCUAGUGUAUUUUAAACAUAAAUAAACAGUGAGCAUAUAUACAGAUAUUCAUGAAUACCCUGAAAUCUGUUAUCACCACUGUGAUAAAAGGCCAGAGAUGCUUCUCAGUAGUGGCUGGAGGAAAAGGAGAGGGAAAGAGUACUUAGUGCUGACCUGACUUUUCUCUGAAAUAAGCAAUAAAGCUUCUUUGAGUUUCAAUGCACAGAGGUCACAGGUUAGCAAUCUUGAAAAUUUUCUUCCCCGAAGUCUAUAAAUAUCUGGAAAUGCCACUGAACUGUUCUUCGCUAGCUUAUGAUGCUGUAUAACUGCCUUUUGCGUUUACAUGGAGAAUUUCAGUACAAACUUCAUGGCUGUUUGCUUCUUCAGAGCUGAGACUCUCUGAGGAGAGGCCAACCAUCUGUGUAGCUGGUGCUCCCUGACAAAGCUGAACAUGAUCCACUGCUCCUGGUGUCACACACAGUCCGGAUCACACCCCUUGCACAAGCGUGGGGGAGAGGCUGGGAAAGCCAAGUGACAGCAGAGGUGAACCAGAGGGCUGAGGGAAGGGCAGACCUUCAUUUACAGUGUGGGGCUGGAGUGGCACACCUGUGACACGUGGCUCUGCAAAAUUCCUGGGGGUUUCGGGAUACACCAAGGUGAAGCAGAAAGCCUCAUAGCAAAUACGGAUUCUUAGCAUCCUGGAAUUAGUUGUUUGUGGUUUUGUGUUUUGUUUUUUCUCUAGAAUGCCCAACAGAAAUACCAUGAGAAGCAAUGACAUGUGAAACCACAAAAGGUAGCUGCAACGGCUGAGCUCUGUGGUUAUUAAUUGUAGGGGUAAGAGCAGGGGAGAAAAAUCUCAGUGCAGUGAAAUGUUCUUUUAAAGGCUAAAUAAAUCCAAAUGUGAAUGAACUAAACAUUUAAAGGAGGCCUUCAGACAAAUUAGUGCCUUGUGCCCUAUGGGUUAUGUAAAUGCCAUCUAGAUUUUACAACUGUAACCGACCUUACCAUUUUGUGCUACUGCAUGAAUACAGCACAUGUUGAAACUGAUGAAAUAAUUGUUUGUGUACAUAAGUAAACCACCCUGGAACAACUAAAACUUGCAAUUAAUGAAGAUAUUAAAGGCAGACACGACAACAUUCAAAACAAACCAAUAAAUAAUUUAUAUUUUUAAUUACUAUAGUUAUUUAUAAUUAUAGUUAUUUAUGGUUACCAAGUAUUAGUAAUGGUUUGCUACAAGCUCCAAACCACUUACUAUUAAGCCAGUCUGUAUCACUGUUUUAACUGCUUUAAGCAAAGGCAGCCCCACAAGCAGAGGAAAGUAUCUCAACUAUGUGACCAGCUGGCAAACAUUUUUUUUCCUUCUUUUGAGGAGAAAAGUAGAAUAUCAUUAAUUAAAAAUAUUUAAGAUACCAUUCAGCAUUUGUUUGGGUCGGUUGUUAUAACAGCAUAGUGUGGCUGAUGAAUCUUUGGAGUAAAUAAACAGUUUGCUUCUGUAGAGAUGCAUUUCUGCACUGCUCUUCUCCUCUUCCUACUCUCUGGACUGCACUGACAGAUCUAAUCAGAAAGAAGGCAAACCCUAGAAAUCCACUCGCUUUGGAUCUGGCUUCUGACAGUCCUUGAUGAAUAACAGUGCUUCCUGGGAGCUUUCCAAAGCCAAUCAGUUGCUACUUUGGAAUUCAGGACAGUAGCUGGACACAAGCCAGUUCUUCUAUUAAAUAUCAACAGCAUCACCACCUGAAGCUACCACGAACAGGACAGAACCAAGCGGAAAAUGCCACUAACUCAUCUAUGGAUUUUUGCCCUGCACUACUUUUGGCUGGCUGCAGUAAUCACAUAAUCAUCCAUUCAAAUCAGGAUUGGCAAGAAAGAAACACCAAGUAAAAUGCAGCUAGGAGUAGAGAGGAAUGCAAAGUUCCAAGUGACUGUCCUCCUUUUGAGGGUUGUUGCUGGUUUUCUAUUUUACUCCUGAAAUAACUUUACUGUUGCUUUGAAACCUCUGAUGCUGUUACAGCUGAGGUAUUAAUCAGCAGUUUACUUGUUAAUGUCCUGGUUUGGGCCAACAGCGGAAACACUGGCUGGCUUGUUUCAUACAAAGGUUCUAAAGAAAGCGCUCUGGGCUGGUGAGCACAGAGCACUUUAUUUUGCUUUUGGAGAGCAGUGAAGAUUUCCUUUUGAUGUACAACUGUUUCCAUCACAGAUUUGAUACAGUGCCUCCAGCAUACAAAACUGCAUCCAUGAUUAUGGAAAUAAAGGCAUAGGAUGGGAAUAAGGCUCCUGCAACACAUUUGAAUGAGUUAAUUACAAUCCUUCCACCACCACCAUUGUCCAGUAGCAAAACCCUGCAUUUGCUGUUUAACUGGACACAGAUUUAGGGCAAUAAAUAUUGAGUUGUCAUAGGAGAUUCUGUAUGAUUUGCAGAAAAUCAUACAGAAAAAAGUUUUAUUCUUUCCUUCUCUUUUCUUCACACCACCUACAGUAAAGAAGUAAUGGAACAAUUACUUUCAUUCCUCUACUGUUUUGUCACAUCUUGCAAAACAAAGCAAAGUGAAUGAAGAUCUCAUGCUAGAGCACAUUUCCUGCUGCCUUUCAUCAAUGCUAUCAGACAUUGCCCUCCACACACUGCUCACCACCAUUUCUCAGGGUGAAGAACCCCAGCCUUUCCAUCCAAAGCUGGUGCUUCAUAUAUAUACUCUAAGGACUUAAGACAUUCAGCUGUUUCUCCUCCCUGCUGCCAGAGGAGAGGCAGGGACUGCCUGCACAGCACAGCCCUCACCAGUUCCCAAGGGUCUUCACAAGACCUCUAUAACAGCAGCCACUUCCAAAAUGAGAGCAAGCAGUUGUUUGCAGAAGCAGGGGCUUCACACCAGAAGGACUUGUCGUAAAAAACGCCUGAUGUCUGACAGCCAGGCAGAGCUUUCCGAGCCUGCACCCCGCAGUGUGCAGCCAGCCUUCUCUGGAGGAAGCACAGGGCUGCCUGGGGGACAUCGGAGCCUGCUGAGAGCUGCUGGCAUGCCUAGGAUAUUUCUGAGACAGACCAGUGUCUAGGGAAAAAAACUCUGCCUGCUGUAGUGUUUUGCUGAAUUUUCUGCUUCUCAUGUUAGGAAAUAUCUGAGACUAUGGAGUCUCCAUCCAGACAAACAUUAGGAGCAAAAUACCCAGACAUAGCUGACAAAAGUCAAGCCCAAGCAUUUAAACAGGAGCACCUCCUAAAGCACCAGUGGCUGCCCUUACGCUACUGCAGCUGCAUAUUCAGAAAUCAGACAUUUCAGACGUAGGUGAUGAACAAAGGGCUCAAAAGUUUAAGGGUCACUGGGGAAGGGAGACAGGCCGAGAGAUCUCUGAAGGCACUCACAUGUCAAAGUUAAAGACGGAAAAAUGCUACUCAUCCAGGUCACGAGUCUUGGAAUAACUCAGACUUAUUAUCUUACUUUUACAGUGUCUGCAGAUGUUAUUCUGACUACUUGGUUCUGUUUUGUUGUUGUUGUUGUUUUGUCUUUAAGAAAUCAGAUCACAUCUACUGUAAGAAUUUAAAUUAUCUAUGUGUCUAAUUUGUAUUUCUUGUAUGUGUUUUGCUGCGAAAAAUGGAUUACGCAUUCAAGACUCACCAGAGUGGCUGCAGAGUUUAAUGAAGGCACAACUGAUAUGCUGGCUGCAAAUGCCAGCUGGUUUCCACACUAAAAGAUGAGCUGAGAUGAAAAAAAUGCUUUUCCUGAGCUCAUACCUAUCUUGAAGUGGUUGCGAAAAGGCAGCUCCAACAUGGUCUUAGGAAAGUGGGCAGAUGACUAUCAAAGACAUUCUCCUGUUCUGAUUAGUGCCUGUUAGUAAAGGACAAUUAAAAAUAUGAAAUAUAACCUAAAUAAUAUUUGCACACAAAAAUUAUUUCAGACUUGUGGACAGACAGUGGGAUGAAAUAGGCUUUGUAUGCAGAUGUCACAAAGGUACAACAGAAAUGCUCUGAAAGGUGGGUGACCCUUACGGUAUGUAGGUCAUUUAUUGAAUGGGAUUAAAAACUGAACUGGACUCAAAGAUAAAAUAGGGAAAAAAUGGGCAAGAGAGGGCAGAAAUCCAACAGAAGCAAACCGUUGAUACAUUAUGUAUCACUGACAGCAGUGGAGGAGCUGCUAAACUCCUAACCUGGGGUUUAAUGGUUCCUAUUUAUCACGCAAGACACAGGUGGUCUGAGCGAGGAAGAGGUGCAUUAAUAAUUCUGACGACAUUCAAGAGAGCACACAAUUGCUGAAAGUUUGCAAAGAAAGCCCCUGAAAAGGCAAUAUGCAGGGAUGGGGGCUGUAACUAUGCACCGACCCUCAUCCAGCUCCUGGGGAUGCUCAGGUCCUGGCUGGAGGCAGAGCAGGACUGGGAGCCCCCGGCACAGCCCUGGAGUGCAAGGACCUCCAGCUGGCACCCUCACGCUGCUCUGGCCUUUGUGGGGCAGCUAACCCAAGAGGAAGAAGAAAACUGCGUGCUUGCGUCCUCUCCUCCAGCAUUUACCAUCCCCCUCUAGGUCAUUUCAGCCCCAAAUGUCAAACUAAUUAGGGAAAAACAAAAUCUGAUUAGAAUCCCCAAGCUGAGAUGGCAGCCUCAUCAAAUGUCUGGUGAUUCUUUCUCUGUCAGUAAUUUGUUUUCUUUUUUGUUCUUGUUUUUCCUCUCUUUGGUUUGAGCUGUCUUCAGGAGGGAAAACAAGCCCUCUCUGAGGAUGUUUCUGAGGUAUUACCUUUAAUGGGCCAGUAUUCACAUUUGUGUGUUUGUUUACAUUAAAAGGAACCUGAUCUUGUUAAAAAAGCUAAUUUAUGCUGGCGAUAAAAUUCUAACUAAACCCCUCAACUCUUCGGAUAUUUUCCUAACUAAACCUCUUAACUCUUUGGAUAUUUAUCUACCAUUGUGUUGAAUUCAGUAUGUAAUUUCUGCAGUGUGCCACCAGUGAUGUAUCCAGGUUGUAAUCUCUGCAGGAGAAGCUUCUGUAUGUUUUCACCGAUGAUACUGAAGGCCAUCAGAAAAUAACAGAUAAUCUUACUAAUAAUGCCAGCACCAGUUUCUUGAUUGUAUCAUGAUCCAUUCCUAGGAAAUUCUUAGGUAACUACAUGUAACUUUUUUUUUUUUUUCUUUUUCACUUAUGUAGAAAUAUCCAUCCUGCAGGCUCUAAUCCAGUUAAAUGUUUUGGUGGUGGUGGUGGUGGUGUUUUCCCAGUCAUAGAGGCAUCCAAAGAAUAAGACAGUCUAUCCAGGAAUGUAUGUACAUUAUAAGCACUGCACAUUCACGUCUUUGUUCCUAACUUUUUCAGAAAGAUGUUUUUGAUAAGAAUUUAAGGCAGCAGCAAUCUAAUUUACACACAUAGCUAAGCUGCAGAAAUAAUGGCCGUGUAGUCAGCUAUGCAGCAUGACAGUUUCCUGUCUCACAAAAUUCAUCCAUCUCACCUGCUGUAAAUGCUUAAAUCCCCAUCUCUCAAAAACAUUCCUGACUUGGUGUCGCUGAUCUGUUGUAUACAAAGGCUCACUGUCUGCCUUCAUGGCCCAUCAAAUGUGAAGGUACCUUACCAGUACAACUGAAAAGAAAACAUACAAACAAACAAACACAGCACCAUACCAGUGCUGCGUAAUCCUGCUCUAGCAGGUUCCUCAAUGGGACGGGUGUGAAAUGACCAUGGAACUGGAGGCUAUUGGCAUCGAGAGCAUUCAGCUAAAUGAAUAAAAUCAUCAUCUCUCAUUAAGUCAGCAGUAUUUGCAAUAAAUAAUACUGAUAGAGACCAAAAUGUCAGGGAUAUGCUACAUUUUGCUAUAUUUUCUAUGCAAUGCUUGAAAAAAAUAUUGUUUCAAUUCAAUAAUGGUUCACUGAGGAACGUAUUGGAUAUGUUGAUCUGUGCGACAAUAGAUUGAGCUGCAGUCAUCUGAUUUCUUUGUGCACAUUUCAGAAGUGCAUCAGCAGCUGAAGGGUAUAUGGAAUUUGUAGGUGACUGCCUUGGUACCAGCAGUAAUGUGGGAUAUAUUGUCUGCUGUCGUUCAUUAAGCCACACAUUUGAACAAUAGAAAGUAACUGAAGACAAUUAGUGGAAUAAAAUACAUAAAGGGAUAUUAAAAUAGUUUUGAGGCAGAAAGGCAGUAUGUCAGUGUUAGUGAGAAGACUGCUAGGAAAACAGAGCAAAUAUAAUUAAGCAUCACUUUGCUGUCAAGAGUUCAAGUUCAGCUAGCAGAAGGAAUUGUUAUGACAAAUUGUGAUGAGGACACAUCUGGGAAUGGUGCUGGAAAACAGGACCUAGCGCCAAUUACAGUCUGUGCCAUGAGGUAAUGUCAGACAUCACUGCAGCUUCUUGUGGUGGUCUCCAAAACAUUCUAGUAAAAUGCCCUCUGUGAGUCCAACAGCAUUGUUCAGCAUCAGUGCAGGCUAGCAAGUGGGGCCUCUGUCUCUCCAAGCACCUCAAAAUAUUUUAAAAAUCUGUCUUCCCCUUGUCUUGGAAGAAAACUCUCCAUCAAAUAAUUUUUGGAUACACACAUAAAAUGCGCAUUACAUCUUUCCAGUUGUGACCUUGCUUUUAUCAUAAGAAAAUGAGUUAUGUGAGCCCUGACCCAUCAGUUGUUUUAAUCAUGCCCUCUGUUUUCCACAUUAUCAUCUAUAAGGGAUCAGGUUCCUAGGAUACCAUACAUAUAUUUAUUUAAUCAUUAAACUAUCACAGAAAACCUAAUGCUGGCUGUGCUGUGCAGCCACAAUACUGGGUGUGGAAUGACAUUAAAAGACAUACAGGGGCAUAACCGCAUGCUGUUCUAUUUACAGCAGUUAGAGUCAUUGAGCUUUAUUGGUAAAGAUAAAACAGAACUGUUCAUAAAUGAUCCUGCUAAAUCAGGUAAUGAGCAGCAGAGUCAAAGUGAAGCGUCUAUUUCCUAAAGUCAGCUGAAGUCCCGCAGGUGGGCACCACAGGCACUGAUACCAGCAGCAGGCAGGGCUCGUCACCCCUGAGAUGCCUCUUCAUGGCUGCCAGGGGCUCUUCAACUGCAUAGGUGCGUCUGGGGCUUUCGUCUCACAUCUGUCCCUGCACUGGCAGAAUGAUUUUGCAAGGUUUGGAAGCCUCCAUGUAACCUUAUCCACAAAGUGGGCUACCAGCUUCCUCAAAUUUGUAUAUUGUACCCCUUGAUAUUUAGGAGUAGUCAACUGGAGACACUUUUGUUAAGCAGAGAGUUUGACAUGCCCAGUACCACACAGCUCCUUGACACAGCCCUACGUGGUAGUACAAAACCAUGGGUUAUGCUUGGAAAACAUUAAUCCAAAGAGAAAAGACACGCCGCUGAGCGCCACAGGAGUACAGCAAUCCUGUCUGCCUGUUCUCACACCCUGCCUCUCAGCUGUCCCAGCUCCGUGGCUGCAGCUGAGGAAGAGCAGGCUGAGGCAGCUGCAAAGCUUCAGCACGCACACAAAUUGCCAGUGCUCCUUUCCCCUUCUGUUUAACUGCAGGAUGCAUAGUUGCGUGGUGAGAAAGUGGGAUGUUAAUCUAGCUACUUUUGCAGAAGAAUGAGUGCAGUUUUCCAACAAACAUUUUAACAUCCACAUUUUUUUAGCCACCACAUGACCACUACUCAGGCAUGAGUCUCAGAAAUAUUAUUUCACUAAUGUUUAAGAGCAAAGCCAGAGGGACCACAGACACUGUGUUUUUCAGGAGUGCACACAGCAUAAGGAAACACGCAGCUGUGAUGCAGAAGACAACUCCACUGUGCUUCUGGGCAGGGCUGAAGGAUGCAGGGGCUCUGCCGAGUUAUACAUAACAGUUGUUGCCACUAGAUCUACUUCAGCUUAGAUGGUGGAAGCAAGCAGCACAUCCUGAAGCAUUGCUGUCCUUGGCAGUCAGUGCAGAACUGCAACAUAGGAGAGAUGAUGGUGACCUCUUCUUUGCAACAUGGGAAGGCCGAACUGGGACUCGUGGGAGAGAAAUUCUGUGACAAAGCUGAAAGUCACACCUGCACCUCUGAAGUCUCACCCUGCAGACUGAAGCAGCCAACCUCACUGUCAGAUUUCCACGAGCAAGGGAAGCCACAGCCCCACGGUAGGGCAGCUGAUGGUUUUGAUGCUCACACCUCUUCAUUUAUUUUCAAAAACUGAAAUUGCCAUCAGGAAGAAAUUAGCAUUGAGAAGAGAAAAAGGAUCAUGUGCCCUCCAUCACCUUCUAGAACCUGAAUAAAACUUUUUUUUUUCCUUUUUAAACUACCCUGUCAUUAGUGUUCCCUGUAGAUUUAAUGCUAAAUGUUUAUUAAAUUCAGUGAUCAGGACCUGAUCCUUAAACCAGACACAAACAUCCCUUUUAUUUAUACAAGACCUUGAAUAACAUUAGCCAAAUUCCCUGUUUUCUGAUAUAAUUCAGCUGACUUAGUAGGAGUCACCCUUUAUAGCAACAUCAAUGAGAGAAGAGCCAGGUUCAACACUUAUUUUCCAUCCACACCAGAAGUUAACUCACAGCUUUAUUCCCUAAAUCUGCUGAAAGCGUUGUUGAUGGCAGUACAUGAACAAAGGCUCCUUCACUUGCUGUGUUGUGUACGUUGUUGUUGUUAAACAAACAUGCCCAUGUUAACUUCAGCCUCAUGGUAAACACAAGAAAAACAUUCAUCCUGGGAUCUGGAAUAUCGGGCAGAUACUCGUUAAAAAAGGGACGUGUUUUAACCAUAAAUAAAUAAAUAAUAACAGUAAUAAUAAUAAUAAUUAAUAAUAAUAAUUAAUAAUAAUAAUAAAAACACCACUCCAAAACCAAAAAGAAAAAACAAACACCACUGGAAACCCGGGGUACAUAAAUACCCACGAUUAUAAACCUUAAAAAAAGAAAAUACACUUAAUAUGUCCUGCCUGGUA
Long non-coding RNA from Anas platyrhynchos (mallard), 14439 nucleotides. RefSeq lists it as uncharacterized. Lineage: Eukaryota; Metazoa; Chordata; Aves; Anseriformes; Anatidae. The record is from RefSeq and is a predicted model, not a curated record.